This 215-nucleotide ribosomal RNA is filed under the name Campeiostachys nutans. Its description in RNAcentral is "Elymus nutans partial small subunit ribosomal RNA". The stretch from base 37 to 215 matches the Rfam family "Eukaryotic small subunit ribosomal RNA", at positions 684 to 864 of the family's 1831-position model. The record is from RNAcentral. Lineage: Eukaryota; Viridiplantae; Streptophyta; Magnoliopsida; Poales; Poaceae.
GGACCGAUAUAUCGGUCGCGCCUCGGUACGUACUGGUAUUUUCGGUUUCUCCCUUCUGACGAACCAUGAUGUCAUUAAUUUGGUGUCGUGGAGAAUCAGGACUGUUACUUUGAAAAAAUUAGAGUGUUUAAAGCAAGCUAACGCUUGAAUACAUUAGCAUGGAAUAAUGAAAUAGGACGUUUGACCCUAUUUUGUUGGUUUCUAGGAUCGACGUA